This 433-nucleotide ribosomal RNA is filed under the name uncultured bacterium. Its description in RNAcentral is "partial 16S ribosomal RNA". It matches the Rfam family "Bacterial small subunit ribosomal RNA", at positions 29 to 507 of the family's 1533-position model. The record is from RNAcentral.
AACGAACGCUGGCGGCAUGCCUAACACAUGCAAGUCGAACGAAGGCUUCGGCCUUAGUGGCGCACGGGUGCGUAACGCGUGGGAAUCUGCCCUUUGGUUCGGAAUAACAGCUGGAAACGGCUGCUAAUACCGGAUGAUGACGAAAGUCCAAAGAUUUAUCGCCAGAGGAUGAGCCCGCGUUGGAUUAGGUAGUUGGUGGGGUAAAGGCCUACCAAGCCGACGAUCCAUAGCUGGUCUGAGAGGAUGAUCAGCCACACUGGGACUGAGACACGGCCCAGACUCCUACGGGAAGCAGCAGUGGGGAAUAUUGGACGAUGGGCGCAAGCCUGAUCCAGCAAUGCCGCGUGAGUGAUGAAGGCCCUAGGGUUGUAAAGCUCUUUUACCCGGGAAGAUAAUGACUGUACCGGGAGAAUAAGCCCCGGCUAACUCCGUG